This 1942-nucleotide ribosomal RNA is filed under the name human metagenome. RNAcentral describes it as "bacterial LSU rRNA". It matches the Rfam family "Bacterial large subunit ribosomal RNA", at positions 1 to 1977 of the family's 2925-position model. The record is from RNAcentral.
GUUAAACAUAAAGAGCGUAGGGUGGAUGCCUAGGCACUGACAGCCGAAGAAAGACGUGACAAGCUGCGAAAAGCUGCGGGGAGAAGCACAUAUUCAGUGAUCCGCAGAUGUCUGAAUGGGGAAACCCGCUUGGAUAAACUCCAAGCAUCUGUACGCCAAUACAUAACGUACAGAAGGGAACCCGGUGAACUGAAACAUCUAAGUAGCCGGAGGAAAAGAAAACAAAAGUGAUUGCGAAAGUAGCGGCGAGCGAAAUCGUAAAAGCCCAAACCGUGGUGCGUGCACUGCGGGGUAGAGGACUGCAAUACGAGUAAGAUAUAUUACCUGAACCGUUUUGGAAAAGCGGGCCAAAGAGCGUGAGAGCCGUGUAAGGGAAAAUAUAUUGAAUCAAGCAGUAUCCGGAGUACCACGAGACACGAGAAACCUUGUGGGAAGCAGGGGGGACCACCCCCCAAGGCUAAAUACUUGUCAGUGACCGAUAGCGUAUAGUACUGUGAAGGAAAGGUGAAAAGAACCCCGGGAGGGGAGUGAAAAAGAACCUGAAACCCUAUGUUUACAAACUGUGGAACACCGAAAGGUGAACCGCGUACUUUUUGUAGAACGGUCCGGCGAGUUACAUGUACAGGCAAGGUUAAGUAUUAAAGAUACGGAGCCGAAGGGAAACCAAGUCUUAACAGGGCGAGAUAAGUCAGUAUGUGUAGACCCGAAACCGGGUGAUCUAUCCAUGUCCAGGUUGAAGUUCGCGUAAAAGUGAAUGGAGGACCGAACGCACAUCCGUUGAAAAGGGUGGCGAUGAGGUGUGGAUAGGGGAGAAAUUCCAAUCGAACCCGGAGAUAGCUGGUUCUCCUCGAAAUAGUUUUAGGACUAGCCUCGUUAAAGUCUACCGGAGGUAGAGCACUGAAUUUUUGCGGGGGCGUCAAAGCCUACCAAGAGAUAUCAAACUCCGAAUGCCGGCUAGAUGAUUAACGGGAGUCAGACUGCACGAGAUAAGUUGGGUAGUCAAAAGGGAAAGAGCCCGGACCCGCGGCUAAGGUCCCAAAGUGUGUGUUAAGUGGAAAAGGAUGUGGGAUUUCAAAGACAGCUAGGAUGUUGGCUUAGAAGCAGCCACACAUUAAAAGAGUGCGUAACAGCUCACUAGUCGAGAGGUCCUGCGCCGAAAAUGUCCGGGGCUAAACACAACACCGAAGCCCGGGAAUGUAUUAUAUACAUUGGUAGAGGAGCAUUCUUAUAAGCGUAGAAGCCAUACCGAAAGGAGUGGUGGAGUAAUAAGAAGAGAGAAUGCCGGAAUGAGUAGCGAGAAAGAGGUGAGAAUCCUCUUGGCCGAAUAUCUAAGGUUUCCUGAGUAAAGCUGAUCUGCUCAGGGUAAGUCGGGGCCUAAGGCAAGGGAGAAAUCCGUAGUCGAUGGAUAACAGGUACAGAUUCCUGUACUACAUAUAAUCAGAACUGUGGGGACACGGAGACUAAAACCGAACCCGGGAGGACAAAAACCGGGGCAAGCGAAGUACCUGUAUGGGAGGCAAAUCCACCAUACAAAGGGAAGACGUGAUGCGUACCGAAAAAUAGUAGGGAAGUCGGUUAGGGAGCCGUCAAGAAAAGCCGCUAUUGUAUUAUAUGUACCCGUACCGCAAACCGACACAGGUAGAUGAGGAGAGAAUCCUAAGGCCGGCGGGAGAAGCAUUGUUAAGGAACUCGGCAAAAUGACCCCGUAACUUCGGGAGAAGGGGUGCCACUUUAAUAGAGUGGUCGCAGAAAAAAGGCUCAAGCAACUGUUUAGCAAAAACACAGGUCUAUGCGAAACCGUAAGGUGAAGUAUAUGGGCUGACGCCUGCCCGGUGCCGGAAGGUUAAGAGGAGAAGUCAGGAAACGAAGCUUUGAACCUAAGCCCCGGUAAACGGCGGCCGUAACUAUAACGGUCCUAAGGUAGCGAAAUUCCUUGUCGGGU